RNAcentral lists this long non-coding RNA (678 nucleotides) under Pan troglodytes (chimpanzee). RNAcentral's name for it is "long non-coding RNA NONPTRT015145". The record is from RNAcentral. Lineage: Eukaryota; Metazoa; Chordata; Mammalia; Primates; Hominidae.
AAUGGGUAGUGAAGGUUAAAUAAGAUAAUGAACAUGAAAAUCGUGGCCGGCUCUGUGACUUCAUGCCUGUAAUACCAGCACUUUGGGAGGCCAAGACAGGCCCGGGUUGCUUGACCCUAAGAGUGAUGGGCAAUAUAGUGAGACCUGGUCUCUAGAAAAAAUUUAAAACAAAAAUUAGCUGGGCCGGGUGCGGUGACUCACAACUGUAAUCCCAGCACUUUGGGAGGCCGAGGCAGGUGGAUCGCCUGAGGUCAGGAGUUUGUAAUAUAGUGGAAUAAAUCUUGUUGAUUUUGACUUUUUGCUGGUUCUGAAGUCCCAUGAUAGUUAAGUUUGCCAAAGCACAGUUUUGAUUAUCUCUAGAUGUGAGACUGAUGGACACUUUUACAUUACAGCCAAAGAAAUGAGAAUUGGGCCAGGCGAGGUGGCUCACACCUAUAAUCCCAGCACUUUGGGAGGCUGAGGUGGGCAGAUCACUUGAGGUCAGUCAGGAGUUCGAGACCAGCCUGGCCACCAUGGUGAAACCCUGUCUCUACUAAAAAAAAAAUAAACAUUAGCCAGGCGUGGUGGCACACGCUUUUAAUCCCAGCUACUCAGGAGGCUGAGGCAGGAGAAUUGCUUGAUCCUGGUGGGUGGAGGUUGCAGUGAGCUGAGAUUGCGCCACUGCACUCCAGCCUGGGU